This 467-nucleotide ribosomal RNA is filed under the name uncultured bacterium. Its description in RNAcentral is "partial 16S ribosomal RNA". It matches the Rfam family "Bacterial small subunit ribosomal RNA", at positions 28 to 506 of the family's 1533-position model. The record is from RNAcentral.
GACGAACGCUGGCGGCGUGCUUAACACAUGCAAGUCGAACGGAAAGGCCCUGCUUUUGCGGGGUGCUCGAGUGGCGAACGGGGGAGUAACACGUGAGUAACCCGCCCUUGACUUUGGGAUAACUUCAGGAAACUGGGGCUAAUACAGGGUAGGAGCUACUGCUGCAUGGUGGGGGUUGGAAAAUUUCGGCGGUUGGGGAUGGAAUCGCGGCUUAUCAGCUUGUUGGGGGGGUAGUGGCUUACCAAGGCUUUGACGGGUAGCCGGCCUGGGAGGGUGACCGGCCACAUUGGGCCUGGGAUACGGCCCAGACUCCUACGGGCGGCAGCGGUGGGGACUAUUGCACAAUGGGCCGAAGCCUGGUGCAGCGUCGCCGCGUGCGAGAUGACGGCCUUCGGGUUGUAACCCGCUUUCGCCUGUGACGACGCGUGAGUGCCGGUAAUGGGUAAAGAGGCACCGCCUAACUCCGU